Molecule: transfer RNA, 80 nt
Filed under: Acinetobacter pittii
Lineage: Bacteria; Pseudomonadati; Pseudomonadota; Gammaproteobacteria; Moraxellales; Moraxellaceae
Also listed under: 1 other name
Description: tRNA-Leu
Rfam family: tRNA
About the family: Transfer RNA (tRNA) molecules are approximately 80 nucleotides in length. Their secondary structure includes four short double-helical elements and three loops (D, anti-codon, and T loops).
Source: RNAcentral
GGGGGCGUGGCGAAAUUGGUAGACGCACUGGAUUUAGGUUCCAGCGCCGCAAGGUGUAAGAGUUCGAGUCUCUUCGCCCC